This 474-nucleotide ribosomal RNA is filed under the name uncultured bacterium. RNAcentral's name for it is "bacterial SSU rRNA". It matches the Rfam family "Bacterial small subunit ribosomal RNA", at positions 355 to 825 of the family's 1533-position model. The record is from RNAcentral.
UGGGGAAUCUUGCGCAAUGGGGGAAACCCUGACCGAGCGACGCCGCGUGGGUGAUGAAGAUUCUCGGAUCGUAAAACCCUGUCAGGUGGGAUGAAAAACCAUUCGGUUAAUACCCGAGUGGCUUGACAGUACCACCAGAGGAAGCUCCGGCCAACUCCGUGCCAGCAGCCGCGGUAACACGGGGGGAGCAAGCGUUGUUCGGAUUCAUUGGGCGUAAAGAGCUCGUAGGCCGCUCUGUAAGUCGGAAGUGAAAGACCACGGCUCAACCGUGGAAACGCUUUCGAAACUGUGGAGCUUGAGGCCGGGAGAGGAGAUCGGAAUUCCUGGUGUAGCGGUGAAAUGCGUAGAUAUCAGGAGGGAACACCAGUGGCGAAGGCGACCACCUGGACUGAUACUGACACUGAGGUGCGAAAGCGUGGGGAGCAAACAGGAUUAGAUACCCCCGUAGUCCCUGAGCGGGCUGGCAAGGCGCAU